Molecule: ribosomal RNA, 404 nt
Filed under: uncultured bacterium
Lineage: Bacteria
Description: bacterial SSU rRNA
Rfam family: Bacterial small subunit ribosomal RNA
Source: RNAcentral
UAGGGAAUAUUGGUUAAUGUGCGAAAGCGCGAACCAGCAACGCCGCGUGUGCGAUGAAGGCCUUCGGGUCGUAAAGCACUUUUUGCAGGGACGAGGAAGGACGGUACCUGCAGAAUAAGUCUCGGCUAACUACGUGCCAGCAGCCGCGGUAAAACGUAGGAGACGAGCGUUAUCCGGAUUUACUGGGCGUAAAGCGCGUGCAGGCGGCAUGGCAAGUUGGAUGUGAAAGCUCCUGGCUUAACUGGGAGAGGUCGUUCAAUACUGCCAAGCUUGAGAGUGGUAGAGGGAAGCGGAAUUCCGGGUGUAGUGGUGAAAUGCGUAGAUAUCCGGAGGAACACCAGUGGCGAAAGCGGCUUCCUGGCCCAUUUCUGACGCUCAGACGCGAAAGCUAGGGUAGCAAACGG